This is a non-coding RNA of Cyanistes caeruleus (blue tit), 1599 nucleotides long. Lineage: Eukaryota; Metazoa; Chordata; Aves; Passeriformes; Paridae. The record is from RefSeq and is a predicted model, not a curated record.
AAGAAGCAAUGUUGGGUAACAUCAGAGCUAAGAAGACCCAUCCAAGCAAUAAAAAGUACCCCUGUAACCACCUGGCCUUUUUCAGGGACCUGAGCCUUAAAGCCCUGAGGUCCUUAAUCCAGAUUUGCUGACAACUCAGACCAGCACCACUGGCACAAAGGACUACAGGUAUCAGAGAUGGUUUGGGUUGGAAGGGACCUUAAAGAUCAUGUAGCUCCCACACCCUGCCAUGGUGUGGGACCGCGGCUACUGAAAGCCCCAGGCCUCCUCAUGCUAGAACUCACUUCAGAGCCAAGAGGCUAUACAUUUAAAUCAGAAUAACUCUGACUACAUCAGAGCUAACAGCAGAGAGAGGCCUCCUCUGUGUCUUCCCUGGCAGGAAAGCUGCAGUGCAAGACAGCUGUCACAAGGUUUAUAAAGGAGAAAGUCACCAAAACCACAGAUUUACUAAUCCCCCUAUUCACAAAACAGUAUUCUGCUCUACUGUGAGAUGCACCAUUUCACUGAGAGAGCAAAGCAACACAAUUGUCUCCUCAAGACAGCCUGGAAGUACCUGUAACAAAAAGAAGGAAGGACAAGUCGUAACAUUGGCCAAAGUUUUUGUGAAGUGUCCAGAAAUGGCAGAACUGCUCUGCAGCUGCCCAAACUGAGUCAAGAGAGUAGAGGGUCUCCACAGUUUAAAUAAAAUCUAGUAUCUCAAGAUGACCAAAGUUAGAUGUGGAAGACCAAAGUGAUUCCCAGACCACCUCUGUGAACCUAUGGUCUUUCAGCUGAGACAUAAUUAUGACCAGAGAACGUUUGCUGGAUAAAUGAUCAGAAAACCCCUGGUUCUAGGUCAGGCAAAGGACAGCGCUUUCAGAGAUAGGCUGUUGCCUGGUAACAAGCUAGAAUGCUUGUCCAACACUCUACACUCAGUGUCCAGAAGUACUCUCUUCAACAGCUUCAUGUUUUAUGAAGUCUCUCAUCCAGCUGCUGACCAGCUGCAAAUAAAUACAGAGGACAAAGCAUCAUAUUUAGUCAUAAUGCUGCAGGUUCCCAUGACAGGGAGAAAAUUAUAUGCAAAAGUCAAAACAGUAGCUCUGCAUAUAUGAUCAAAGCUUUGCUGAAACUCAUCUCUGCAAGAGCAGACUCAGAUAGUAUGUCUCCUUUCAUUAAAAGGAAGUUUCAAAGCUGCUGGAAGAAAUAAAGAAUAGCACUGACUAAUUCUAUAAAAUCCUCCCUCACUUGGAACUAAGAGGACUUCAGAGCAAAAAGAUGGGUUUUCUCAAUUUGAGUAAGAAGAUUCCACUUUGCCCAUACAUCCAAUAACAAGGUAAGUGAAAGAAACGCAUCACAACGCAAAAGCAGAACGAAAAAUCCUAAAAUGUAGCUCUCCUCAACUAGUAGAGAUGAGGGGUGAUCCUGGUGCAGGAGACAAUUUACUAAAAGAAGGAAGGAAAAUUCAUUGUGCUACUGGUUAUACCUAACUCUGAACUGUAAGCUGAGCAUUCUCUGAUACACAAAUGUGACACAAUUCCCUACUAAAUCCCAUCCUGGGGCUGCUCCAGGAUGCAGCACAGACCAAGAAACACAUGCAGUGAUACUCCCUCAGUAUCUUGG